Non-coding RNA from Callithrix jacchus (white-tufted-ear marmoset), 2118 nucleotides. The record is from RefSeq and is a predicted model, not a curated record. Lineage: Eukaryota; Metazoa; Chordata; Mammalia; Primates; Cebidae.
AAGUUUGGAUUAAGUCAGUUUGAAAUUAUUUUAGUACAAUUGCUAUUUAAUAGAAAUUUGGUUUUGACCGUUUCACCUACUCGAGACCUAGUAUUUUCGUCCCGAACAUCGGUUCGAAAGAGUAGAUGAUGACCAGAAUGGGAUCCUGGUGGGAAGGAAGAGAUUUCACUCAAAGCCCAACAAGUGAGGCGAGUUUCAAUAUAGCAAGGUGCAAUUUGAAAUUUUUUUUAAAAACUAGUCUUGUCUUAGGAGUGGCAACUUAAGUGUUGCUAGGGAGACCACGCAAUGAAAAAGAUACCACACGGAAGUGAUCUUCCUUUAUUGUACUUUGCUUGACGAGACAGCAAAAAAGAGAUCCAAACAGGGAGAUGUGCCGAAAAGCACAGCUUGGACUUAAGGUCUGCAAGUAGAAGAGGUGAUGGGUACUGAGCCAGACGCGUCCCCUUUUUGGUGCUGUCAAAUUCAGUUUUGAGGAAUUUUCACCUAGAAGAAUCCAAGAUCUUCAGUCCAAACAGCAAUUUAUGGGGAGGUAGAUGAUGGGGGGGGAGGAGUGACAGAGGGGUUGUAACUAGCUGAACAUUUCAGAAAGAUCAGUAACAAAAAUGAGAUGUGAUGGUCCUGGGUAGUGUUCUGUGACAAGCAGAAGUUUACGGCUUUUAGGUACAAGAGCAGGUAAAUGUGUUCAGUUUGGGAUUCAACCUUAGUUAAAAACUUGAGGGAACUCGUUUCUUUUUCACUUGAAGGAAUAAGAACAUUUUAGGAAAUUUCCGAUGCAUGACCUAAAGACCUCUCAUCCUUCUUCAGAUAGAGAAUAAAACAUUUCAAAACUAUGUAAUUCUUGGAAAAAAUUUUCCCUUAAAGAUUUAUUUUUUCCUGUUGUUUUUGUUGAUGACAGUAAGUUGCCUGAUGAGAAGCUGACAGAUCACUUCAAAUAAAAGGCACUAUAUUAUAUGCUUUUAAAUAAAAUUCAUAUCUAAAUUCUUUUGCAGAAUUAAAUCAUGCACCUAAUAUAUUCCUUAAUAAUCUAGGUAAAGGUAUAUUUUCCAGGAUUUUAGUAACUACACAAAAAGUCUCUCUCUGCAUGUGAAUUUAUGCCUUAUAAGUGUUUCAAAUUUGGCAGAUUGCCUACAAACUAAAGAUACCAACAGUUUAAAUAAACUUUUAUUUAAUGAAAUAAAGCCAACCUUACACACAAAUGCACAUUACAUACAGAUAAUUUACGAGUUCGAUGAACUUCAAAUAUUAAAAAUAUUUAUUAUAAUGCCUUGCAGAUUUGAAGAUGAAAAAAUUAUUUAACAGAAGUUUCUAAACAUUCUUGGUAACCAACAUAUACAGAACACCUACUAUAUUAUAAGCAUUGAAAAGACAUAGACAUAUUGUAUAUGUUGUCUAUUUCAGGUGAAAUGGACAGAAAUGGGCAUAUGUACCUCAGAAUGAAUAUGUAUGUGUGUAUGAAGCAUAUACAUAUUUUUCAGUUUGGUAGGUUUUUCUUUUUUAAACCCUGAAUAAUUCUAAAUAAGGAAAUAAACUUUAUACUCAAUUAUAGUUAAUCAAACUUCAUUUUGGCUAAUCAUAAUUUGACCAGUGAUUUUUUUUUCCUCAGAGCAUGAAGGACAGUGUUUAAUUUAAAAGUUUAGUGCACCCAAAAUGCUGCUCUUCUUAAGCCACUUUGAAGUAAUGCUAGUGAGUCUACAAUCCAGAGCUACAUGUUAAUCUCUAGUUUUGCCUUCAAACAGAAUUCAGUUACAAAGAACUUGGAAAGAUUUUGAAUCUAUUCAGGAGAGAAAAACUCUUUAAUUUUCUGAGGAGUAAAAACUCCCCAAGAAACUUCAUAUAGCUUCUUAGAUUUUGCUUAGCAUACGUGAUAAAACAUUGAUUGUUGCAGUUUGGUGACCCAUGAAAUUUGGGGGUUAGUUUUCUCUUCAGACCAGAGCAUAUAAUUAUGCAAAUAAAGAGCUGUCACUGAUCUAGUGAAAUACUCACAAACACAUGCACUCUGAAAUUGGACAGAAAAGUGAAAAUGGUUGGUGAUGUGAUGGUGCCAUGGUUUGUUUUCCUGCCAAGUUUCUAUCUAAAUUCAUUAUUCAAGAAGUAAACUUUAAAAAGAGACAUAUCAUU